AUUGAACGCUGGCGGAAUGCUUUACACAUGCAAGUCGAACGGUAGAGGGGGCAACCCCUCGAGAGUGGCGAACGGGUGAGUAAUAUAUCGGAACGUGCCCAGUCGUGGGGGAUAACGUAGCGAAAGUUACGCUAAUACCGCAUACGAUCUAAGGAUGAAAGCGGGGGAUCGCAAGACCUCGCGCGAUUGGAGCGGCCGAUAUCAGAUUAGGUAGUUGGUGGGGUAAAGGCUCACCAAGCCAACGAUCUGUAGCUGGUCUGAGAGGACGACCAGCCAAACUGGAACUGAGACACGGUCCAGAAUCCUACGGGAGGCAGCAGUGGGGAAUUUUGGACAAUGGACGCAAGUCUGAUCCAGCCAUUCCGCGUGCAGGAUGAAGGCCCUCGGGUUGUAAACUGCUUUUGUACGGAACGAAAAGGUCUCUCUUAAUACGGGGGACUCAUGACGGUACCGUAAGAAUAAGCACCGGCUAACUACGUGCCAGCCGCCGCGGUAA
This 496-nucleotide ribosomal RNA is filed under the name uncultured bacterium. Its description in RNAcentral is "partial 16S ribosomal RNA". It matches the Rfam family "Bacterial small subunit ribosomal RNA", at positions 30 to 523 of the family's 1533-position model. The record is from RNAcentral.